RNAcentral lists this ribosomal RNA (253 nucleotides) under uncultured bacterium. RNAcentral describes it as "partial 16S ribosomal RNA". It matches the Rfam family "Bacterial small subunit ribosomal RNA", at positions 524 to 776 of the family's 1533-position model. The record is from RNAcentral.
GACGAACCGUCCAAACGUUAUUCGGAAUCACUGGGCUUACAGAGUUCGUAGGCGGUCUGGAAAGUUGGGUGUGAAAUCCCUCGGCUCAACCGAGGAACUGCGCUUGAAACUACCAGACUCGAGGGAGAUAGAGGAAAGCGGAACUGAUGGUGGAGCGGUGAAAUGCGUUGAUAUCAUCAGGAACACCGGUGGCGAAGGCGGCUUUCUGGGUCUUACCUGACGCUGAGGAACGAAAGCUAGGGGAGCAAACGGG